ACACCAUGGUGUGGACAAAUGACCAGCAUCCCUUUAAAACGCUCCCAUGUUUCAUGCAGUGUUUCCAUCGGUCUCUGUAUAAAGCUCAAAAUCUCAUCAAUUUGUUG
Non-coding RNA from Nicotiana attenuata, 107 nucleotides. The record is from Rfam. Lineage: Eukaryota; Viridiplantae; Streptophyta; Magnoliopsida; Solanales; Solanaceae.